UCUCUGGGUGAUGAUGGAUACUUUGUAUUUCAUUGGCUCAAUGGAGAACAUAAAAUAGGAUAUCUUUCGGAGGAUUUGGAAUUGGUGAAAGAUUAUGAUAUCUCUUGGCAAGACUGGAAAAGCAUUGCUUGGUGUGAUAAUCUUGUUCCUAACGUGUAUGGAACAGAAGUAUACCUCACUUGUUCUUUAAAUGAUGCGCAGGAUGUUAUCAUUUUCCAGACAAAGCUUGGGGGAGAGAAAACCUAUCUUGGUGCAAGAGCAGAUACAUCAGAAGCUUAGAAAACUAUCGUUAUAUAUAUAUUGAAAUAUAAAACAGAUUUUUAA
Long non-coding RNA from Eurytemora carolleeae, 324 nucleotides. RefSeq lists it as uncharacterized. Lineage: Eukaryota; Metazoa; Arthropoda; Copepoda; Calanoida; Temoridae. The transcript has 4 exons. The record is from RefSeq and is a predicted model, not a curated record.